GAUGAACGCUGGCGGCGUGCCUAAUACAUGCAAGUCGAGCGAACGGACGAGAAGCUUGCUUCUCUGAUGUUAGCGGCGGACGGGUGAGUAACACGUGGAUAACCUACCUAUAAGACUGGGAUAACUUCGGGAAACCGGAGCUAAUACCGGAUAAUAUUUUGAACCGCAUGGUUCAAAAGUGAAAGACGGUCUUGCUGUCACUUAUAGAUGGAUCCGUGCUGCAUUAGCUAGUUGGUAAGGUAACGGCUUACCAAGGCAACGAUGCAUAGCCGACCUGAGAGGAUGAUCGGCCACACUGGAACUGAGCCUCGGUCCCGACUCCUACGGGAGGCAGCAGUAGGAAAUCUUCCGCAAUGGGCGAAAGCCUGACGGAGCAACGCCGCGUGAGUGAUGAAGGUCUUCGGAUCGUAAAACUCUGUUAUUAGGGAAGAACAUAUGUGUAAGUAACUGUGCACAUCUUGACGGUACCUCAUCAGAAAGCCACGGCUAACUACGUG
This 497-nucleotide ribosomal RNA is filed under the name uncultured bacterium. RNAcentral describes it as "partial 16S ribosomal RNA". It matches the Rfam family "Bacterial small subunit ribosomal RNA", at positions 28 to 507 of the family's 1533-position model. The record is from RNAcentral.